This is a long non-coding RNA of Cicer arietinum (chickpea), 982 nucleotides long. RefSeq lists it as uncharacterized. The record is from RefSeq and is a predicted model, not a curated record. NCBI's taxonomy places the organism in Eukaryota, Viridiplantae, Streptophyta, Magnoliopsida, Fabales, Fabaceae.
CAUCCUCGUAAACAAUGCAACCUUUUCCUCUCAGCCCCUUUGUUUUGAACCCAUCAAAGUUUGUCUCAUUGAAAAAUGUAAUGCACACAUAAUAACCUCAAAAUAUGGUAUCCACAACAAGUGAUUUAGAAAAAAAUUCUCCAAUUUAUGACAGGAAAAGUGAACUAUAAGAAUUUGAUGAGUCAAAGGUUGGUGUCCAAGGACUCAAAGAAAACGGUGUCACAAAGUUCCACAUAUGUUCUAUUGUGUCAUGGACGGCUUAGUUAAUGAAUCAAAUACAAAGCUUAGUAUCCCUACAAUUGAUUUAAAAGGCAUCCAUGAUGAUCAUGCUUUGAGAGAUGAAGUUUUGAGAAAAGUUGAAAUGCAUGUGAUCAAGUUGUAUUAUGACACACGUGAUCUUACAAGAAAAGUUGUUUAUCUUUCCAAUUUUACCCUUUAUCAAGACACAUAUCUAGUUAUUGGAGGGACACACUUGCAUUUUUUUGAGCACCUCAUCCUCCUAAAGAUGAAGAACUACCAAUAGUUUGCAGUUUGUGAAUAAUAACAAGUUCACAAAUGUUCAGCACAAAGUAUUAGCAAAACAUGUUGGCCCAAGAAUUUGAAUUACAUCCAUUUUUAGAACACAUCAUGAUUCAGAAGAGGAUAUGGCAAAAGUGAUUGGUCCAAUUAAGGAACUGUUAUCCAAAGAAAGUCUACCAAUAUACAGAGAUACUUCUUUUAAAGAGUUUUUGACACAUCGUUUUGCAAAUGGCAUUGGAGCUUCUGCAUUAUCACUCUACAAGUUGUGAUCACAUAUGAACAAAUUGCAUGCAAUCUUUUGCUGUAUGGUUAUGAGUGUAUCAUCUAUAUUUGCAAUGCUAAUAUUUUGCUUCCUACAAAAUAAAGACACUUCAUUUGAUAAUAUAUGAUAUGAUAACCACCAUCUCUUAUACUUUGCAAUUUUUAAUUGGACAAUCUUACUAUUGCUAUUGCAUUUAUAAUA